GGGGUGAGUGGCGAACGAGUUAGUAACACGUAGGAACCUGCCCCAAAGACGGGUAUAAUCUCGCGAAAGCAAGACUAAUACCCGAUAGUCCCUGACCUCGUGUCAGUGUAAAGGUUAUCCCUUUUGGGAUUUCCGCUUUGGGAGGGUCCUGCGUCCUAUCAGCUUGUUGGUGAGGUAAUGGCUCACCAAGGCAAUGACGGGUAGGGGGCGUGAGAGCGCGACCCUCAACGCUGGGACUGAGACACGGCCCAG
Molecule: ribosomal RNA, 252 nt
Filed under: uncultured bacterium
Lineage: Bacteria
Description: partial 16S ribosomal RNA
Rfam family: Bacterial small subunit ribosomal RNA
Source: RNAcentral